UUAUAUGGUGGAGAAGAAUAGGAAACUUCAGAACCAGUUUGAAGCCGAAGCUUCGACUUCUUCUCAUGGUGGUUCGGGUUCUGUGAAGCCUCUAUUCGAUGGGGUUUCCAUCUUUGUCGAUGGUUUCACGGUUCCUUCCAGUCAGCCUCAGUACUCACUUUGAAGUCUGAACUGAUCUUCCUUCCCUUUUUGUCAUCCCAUCAGGUACAAAAACUCUUCAAAGCUUUUUCCUAUUCUAUAUGAAAAUAACAAAGUGUUUUUCAUUAUACUGAGGCUCUUGAUUUCUGAUGAAUAUAUUUAUGCUAUUAGAAAAUAUUAGUUGGUGGACAAAAGAGAUAAAACAAUGGUAGAUUAAUUUAUUGCAUCUUCUUCUUAUUUUCAUCUGUAUCUUUUCCCCCUUUUGGUUCUCUCUUUAUUUCUUGGAAGACCUUUACUUCAUAGUUUAAAGCUUCGGUAGUAUUUGUAAAGGGCAUAGCUGUUUCCAGUUGUGUCCAAUGAAAUUUCAUUUUGUUGGUUUGGUCAAAAAGACACAUCCUUGCAUCACAUGGAGGUAUAACUUAUUAUAUCCACCUAACUUCUUUUAAAAUUAUCCUAGAGGGUAAUAUUAUAUCUCACUUCUGGGCCCUUUUAGCAAUGCUAGGGGGAACCACAGCUGUAGCCUUCAUUUAAAUUGCCUAAUUUUAAAGUACUGUUAGUCAAAUAUCCCAUUUUUCAUCAAAAGAUUGGCAGUAGGCUUGCUUGGAAUAACUUUUUUCAAGAUGUACUUUAAUAAUAAGUUGUAGGAUAACCUUUGCUUCAUUGUUGAAAUGCUAGACUGAUAGUUCAUUAGACUGAGUAUUGGCUCCAUUAUGUACAAGAAAGCUAAUUUUGGUUCCAAUCAAGACGACCAAGAAAGGUUCAAAUCCCCCCUCCCCUAUCGAUUUUACUAUCAAAUUAUCCAAAAAAAAUUAACUCCAGUUUAGACACUUGUGGCCUUGUGGGGUCUAUAUGUUCAUUAAAUGCUUUUCUAGAAGGCUGAUGAGUCUUUGAAGUGUUAGUAGUUUUACAAGUAUCAAGUAUGGUUAAGUCUGCAUUUCCAAGACAAUGGGCAAAAAAGGUUUAUGAUUUAUGUCUUUAAUUAUUGGGUGGCCCAAAUACCAUCAUAAAGUGGGUGAAUGCUACUCUUCCCAACCCUUCUGAAUAAUUAUUUUCCUUGCUGGCCUCCCCACCUGCAAUUUGCGUAGAGGAAAUAUUACAAAAAUUGGGCUCCUUGUGGCUGCUGGUGCUGGACAUAUCAUGGUUGGACCCUUCCUGUUGAACUGUGUAUAGUAGCAUACUUUGUUUAUGAGCUACUUCCUUCAUUGCCACAACUUUGAAUUUGUUCUGAAGCAGUUGCCCUUGGUAUUGAGUUCUCUAUCACUCUCCAUGCCAUUCUAUGAUUUGGGGGUUGCAGUAUUUUGAAGCGCUUCCCUGCAAUUCUGGGACUUUCAAUCACUUAUCAUCUACUGAUUUGUAUGUAGUUUUUUUAAGCACUUCUUAUGGGCAAGUAAUUCUCAUGUAAGAAGAAUUUGUGCUUUAGUUAAGAAGGUUGUAAUAUAAAACUUCUAGGAAUUCGUAACUGUUCUAGAAUUGUCCAUUUUUUAACGGUUA
Long non-coding RNA from Quercus lobata, 1629 nucleotides. RefSeq lists it as uncharacterized. The record is from RefSeq and is a predicted model, not a curated record. The transcript is spliced from 2 exons. NCBI's taxonomy places the organism in Eukaryota, Viridiplantae, Streptophyta, Magnoliopsida, Fagales, Fagaceae.